UCCCUGGUGGCUCAGAUGGUAAAGCAUCUGCCUGCAAUGCGGGAGACCUGGGUUCGAUUCCUGGGUCGGGAA
Molecule: transfer RNA, 72 nt
Filed under: Bos taurus (domestic cattle)
Lineage: Eukaryota; Metazoa; Chordata; Mammalia; Artiodactyla; Bovidae
Also listed under: 3 other names
Rfam family: tRNA
About the family: Transfer RNA (tRNA) molecules are approximately 80 nucleotides in length.
Source: Rfam by way of RNAcentral